This 74-nucleotide transfer RNA is filed under the name Nitrososphaerota archaeon. Its description in RNAcentral is "Thaumarchaeota archaeon tRNA-Trp". It matches the Rfam family "tRNA". Rfam says of the family: Transfer RNA (tRNA) molecules are approximately 80 nucleotides in length. Their secondary structure includes four short double-helical elements and three loops (D, anti-codon, and T loops). The record is from RNAcentral. Lineage: Archaea; Thermoproteati; Nitrososphaerota.
GGGGGCGUAGCCUAGCCAGGUAUGGCGACAGGCUCCAGACCUGUAGGCCGCCGGUUCAAGUCCGGCCGCCCCCA